This 254-nucleotide ribosomal RNA is filed under the name uncultured bacterium. RNAcentral's name for it is "partial 16S ribosomal RNA". It matches the Rfam family "Bacterial small subunit ribosomal RNA", at positions 524 to 776 of the family's 1533-position model. The record is from RNAcentral.
GACGAACCGUGCGAACGUUAUUCGGAAUCACUGGGCUUAAAGCGCGUGUAGGCGGAAGGGCACGUCCGUUGCUGAAAUCCCCCGGCUCAACCGGGGAACGGGCGCGGAUACGACUCUUCUGGAGGGGCGUAGGGGGACCUGGAACUUCCGGUGGAGCGGUGAAAUGCGUUGAGAUCGGAAGGAACGCCCGUGGCGAAAGCGAGGUCCUGGACGCCUACUGACGCUGAGACGCGAAAGCCAGGGGAGCGAACGUG